Molecule: transfer RNA, 69 nt
Filed under: Ictidomys tridecemlineatus (thirteen-lined ground squirrel)
Lineage: Eukaryota; Metazoa; Chordata; Mammalia; Rodentia; Sciuridae
Also listed under: 1 other name
Description: Spermophilus tridecemlineatus (thirteen-lined ground squirrel) tRNA
Rfam family: tRNA
About the family: Transfer RNA (tRNA) molecules are approximately 80 nucleotides in length.
Source: Rfam by way of RNAcentral
GGGGAUGUGGCUCAGUGGUAGAGCGCUUGCCUAGCAUGCAAGAGGCACUGAGUUUGAUCCCCAGCACCA